Non-coding RNA from Acanthosepion pharaonis, 113 nucleotides. Lineage: Eukaryota; Metazoa; Mollusca; Cephalopoda; Sepiida; Sepiidae. The record is from the annotation of a GenBank genome assembly.
UAUGGCCACAGCACAUUGAAGCACCAGUUCUUGUACAAUCACUGAAGGUAAGCAACAUCAAGCCUGGUCAGUACCUAGAUGUGUGACUGCUUAGGAAUACCAGGUACUGUAAG